RNAcentral lists this ribosomal RNA (496 nucleotides) under uncultured bacterium. Its description in RNAcentral is "partial 16S ribosomal RNA". It matches the Rfam family "Bacterial small subunit ribosomal RNA", at positions 29 to 507 of the family's 1533-position model. The record is from RNAcentral.
AUGAACGCUGGCGGCGUGCCUAAUACAUGCAAGUCGAGCGAACAGACGAGGAGCUUGCUCCUCUGACGUUAGCGGCGGACGGGUGAGUAACACGUGGAUAACCUACCUAUAAGACUGGGAUAACUUCGGGAAACCGGAGCUAAUACCGGAUAAUAUAUUGAACCGCAUGGUUCAAUAGUGAAAGACGGUUUUGCUUUCACUUAUAGAUGGAUCCGCGCCGCAUUAGCUAGUUGGUAAGGUAACGGCUUACCAAGGCAACGAUGCGUAGCCGACCUGAGAGGGUGAUCGGCCACACUGGAACUGAGACACGGUCCAGACUCCUACGGGAGGCAGCAGUAGGGAAUCUUCCGCAAUGGGCGAAAGCUUGACGGAGCAACGCCGCGUGAGUGAUGAAGGUCUUCGGAUCGUAAAACUCUGUUAUUAGGGAAGAACAAAUGUGUAAGUAACUAUGCACGUCUUGACGGUACCUAAUCAGAAAGCCACGGCUAACUACGUG